UCCUAGUUUACAUUUUGUAGCACAAUUCCCAUUUUCUUAUUUAACCUUUUUUUAAAAAAAUCUCAGUAGCGUGGCAUUUUCUGAAUAAAAGAAAAAUGUAUAUUAAUUACCCAAAGUUAUAAUUUGGAUUCAUCAUGGUAGAGGUGAUUUUGGCAAGAUGUAUAUCAUCUUAAUUACAAGUAAUAGAGUUGUUUUGUACUAUCUUGUGGGGAAGUAUCCAAACUGCCUAUAGAGUGGGAGUGGAGUAACAAUUCUGAAUAAUGAAUAGAGAUGAUAAUAUAGCAAAAAUAAAUAAAUAAAUAAAUAAGAUAGCCUAGAAAGUACUUUGAUUUAAUCACUUAAUAUGCAGUUAAAAAAUUAUAUGAUGAAAAUGAUCAGUUAUGGUAAGAUAGUGAAAUGCACCACCUAAAUUAUCUUUAUUUUUACUCCUCAAGUCCAACACUUAAACUAUAGAUAAGGUUUUUUAAAAAUUUUUUUAUUUUAAUGUUUUUGGUCAGAGGUUAUCAAUAGAUUUUGUUGUCUGCAAUGAAUUCCGAGAAGAGUUUAAAGUAUUGUAUAUGAGAACUUACAUAGUUUACAGGAACCUGAUUUUUACAUUUUUAGUAUUAGAAUGAAAGCUUUUUAUAGAUUCUGGAUUCCUUAAGAAGUAGAAUAUUUUAUCAAAAAUAAUCAGGAGAUAGUUGAUAAAGU
Molecule: long non-coding RNA, 690 nt
Filed under: Marmota monax (woodchuck)
Lineage: Eukaryota; Metazoa; Chordata; Mammalia; Rodentia; Sciuridae
Source: RNAcentral